This 358-nucleotide ribosomal RNA is filed under the name uncultured bacterium. RNAcentral's name for it is "bacterial SSU rRNA". It matches the Rfam family "Bacterial small subunit ribosomal RNA", at positions 1 to 334 of the family's 1533-position model. The record is from RNAcentral.
GACGUGACUUCAGAGUUUGAUCCUGGCUCAGGACGAACGCUGGCGGCGUGCCUAACACAUGCAAGUCGAACGAAGCAUUUGGAGCUGAUCUCUUCGGAGUGACGCACCUUAUGACUUAGUGGCGGACGGGUGAGUAACACGUGAGCAACCUGCCUCUCAGAGUGGAAUAACAGUUGGAAACGGCUGCUAAUACCGCAUAACGUCAUAGUACCGCAUGAUACCUUGACCAAAGAUUUAUCGCUGAGAGAUGGGCUCGCGUCCGAUUAGGUAGAUGGUGGGGUAACGGCCUACCAUGCCGACGAUCGGUAGCCGGACUGAGAGGUUGAUCGGCCACAUUGGGACUCGAGACACGGCCCAG